This 358-nucleotide unclassified non-coding RNA is filed under the name soil metagenome. RNAcentral describes it as "partial contains 5.8S ribosomal RNA, internal transcribed spacer 2, and large subunit ribosomal RNA". The stretch from base 1 to 120 matches the Rfam family "5.8S ribosomal RNA", at positions 35 to 154 of the family's 154-position model. The record is from RNAcentral.
GAUGAAGAACGUAGCGAAAUGCGAUAAGUAAUGUGAAUUGCAGAAUUCAGUGAAUCAUCGAAUCUUUGAACGCACAUUGCGCCCGUCAGUAUUCUGGCGGGCAUGCCUGUUCGAGCGUCAUUACGCCCCUCAAGUCCCCUGUGGACUUGGUGUUGGGGAUCGGCGAGGCUGGUUUUCCAGCACAGCCGUCCCUUAAAUUAAUUGGCUGUCUCGCCGUGGCCCUCCUCUGCGCAGUAGUAAAACACUCGCAACAGGAGCCCGGCGCGGUCCACUGCCGUAAAACCCCCCAACUUUUUAUAGUUGACCUCGAAUCAGGUAGGACUACCCGCUGAACUUAAGCAUAUCAAUAAGCGGAGGA